AUUGAACGAUGGCGGCAUGCCUUACACAUGCAAGUCGAACGGUAACGGGCCUUCGGGUGCCGACGAGUGGCGAACGGGUGAGUAAUACAUCGGAACGUGCCCGAUCGUGGGGGAUAACGAGGCGAAAGCUUUGCUAAUACCGCAUACGAUCUACGGAUGAAAGCAGGGGACCGCAAGGCCUUGCGCGGACGGAGCGGCCGAUGGCAGAUUAGGUAGUUGGUGGGAUAAAAGCUUACCAAGCCGACGAUCUGUAGCUGGUCUGAGAGGAUGAUCAGCCACACUGGGACUGAGACACGGCCCAGACUCCUACGGGAGGCAGCAGUGGGGAAUUUUGGACAAUGGGCGCAAGCCUGAUCCAGCCAUGCCGCGUGCAGGAUGAAGGCCUUCGGGUUGUAAACUGCUUUUGUACGGAACGAAAAGCCUUCUUUUAAUACAGGAGGGUCAUGACGGUACCGUAAGAAUAAGCACCGGCUAACUACGUG
Molecule: ribosomal RNA, 482 nt
Filed under: uncultured bacterium
Lineage: Bacteria
Description: partial 16S ribosomal RNA
Rfam family: Bacterial small subunit ribosomal RNA
Source: RNAcentral